GGUGGCUCAGUGGUAGAGUGCUUGCCUUGUACACAUGAGACCCUGGGUUCGAUUCCUCAGCACCA
Dipodomys ordii (Ord's kangaroo rat) is the source of this 65-nucleotide non-coding RNA. Lineage: Eukaryota; Metazoa; Chordata; Mammalia; Rodentia; Heteromyidae. The record is from Rfam.